This 75-nucleotide transfer RNA is filed under the name bacterium. RNAcentral's name for it is "tRNA-Val". It matches the Rfam family "tRNA". From Rfam's summary of the family: Transfer RNA (tRNA) molecules are approximately 80 nucleotides in length. Their secondary structure includes four short double-helical elements and three loops (D, anti-codon, and T loops). Further hydrogen bonds mediate the characteristic L-shaped molecular structure. tRNAs have two regions of fundamental functional importance: the anti-codon, which is responsible for specific mRNA codon recognition, and the 3' end, to which the tRNAs corresponding amino acid is attached (by aminoacyl-tRNA synthetases). tRNAs cope with the degeneracy of the genetic code in two manners: having more than one tRNA (with a specific anti-codon) for a particular amino acid; and 'wobble' base-pairing, i.e. permitting non-standard base-pairing at the 3rd anti-codon position. The record is from RNAcentral.
GGGCGGUUAGCUCAGCGGUAGAGCAUCAGUCUUACAAACUGGGGGUCGUAGGUUCGAUCCCUACACCGCCCACCA